UGACGUCAGCGCGCAGCGCGUACCCUCCCGCGCUGGAGCCCUGGGCUAGGGGGUGACUGGCAGGUCCCCCGUCCGCGAGGUUUCUGUGAGAUUUUGUGUAUCCAUUUGUCACUGAGAGAGAGAGAGAGAGAGCACAAGCCGGGAGAGAAGCAGACAGAGGGAGAAGCAGGCUCUCCACUGAGCAUGGAGCCUGAUGAGGGACUCAUCCCAGGACCCCGAGAUCAUGAUCUGCGCUGAAGGCAGCUGCUUAACCAACUGAGCCGCUCACUUCUGCAAAGUCCCUUUGGCCAUGUAAGAAAACGGAGCCUCAGAGAGGGGAGGUGACAUGCUCAAAGUCAUUGGAGCUACGGUGAGAGCUGGGAUUCCGCCCCUGAUGGUCUCAUGGGGUCAUGCGGACGAAGGGGAGUGUCCUGAAGCCCAGAGAGGAAGACGGAUUCACGCAAGGCCACCCAGCAAGUCUGGUUACUUCAUCCCAAGCAGAACAUCUCCCCUCUUAGCCAUGAUCAGAAAGAGACUUGGCAUCAGCAUGGACCCUUCCAUAAAGAUUCUGGCUCUUUCUGCUGCUGAAAUCGGAAAGAUGAAUGAGUGGUACCAUGGAGCCAGAAAAAUAUGAGAUAAAGUGAUGGCACCAUCCUCUCAUUUUCUCUUUCUACUAGAAGAAGACCUCAUUCUAGGAGUGCGUGGGUGGCUUAGUCAGUUAAGUGUCUGCCUUUGGCUCAGGUCAUGAUCCCAGGGUCCUGGGAUCAAGCCCAGUGUUGGGCUCCCUACUCUGUGGGGAGUCUGCUCUCCCUCUCUGUCUGCCCCUCCCCCAGCUCCUGCUCGCUCGCUCUCAAAUAAAAUCUUAAAAAAUUAAAAAUAGCAUUCUCAAGUAAGACACAGGUGCAUUAAUGGAAAAAAUUAACAGAUUUUACUAUACAAUUUUUUAAAAAACUUGAAGCCUUCUAUAUGGUGAAACACAGAGUCCAAUUUAAAACAAAGAAUAGGAGGGAAUACUUGUAGCAUAUUCA
Mustela lutreola (European mink) is the source of this 1007-nucleotide long non-coding RNA. RefSeq lists it as uncharacterized. The record is from RefSeq and is a predicted model, not a curated record. The transcript is spliced from 5 exons. NCBI's taxonomy places the organism in Eukaryota, Metazoa, Chordata, Mammalia, Carnivora, Mustelidae.